GAUAGGCUUUUGUGGUAUGGCAGCAUAUGAGCUGGUAAUGAUUUUAUUUUAAAAAAUGUCAGCUUUGUUUGCUUGUUGAGAAUUUGAGAGAGUUGUACCUUUAUGCUGAAGCUUUUUUUUUUUGGAUUUUAUCUGCCGUAGAUUAAAAUCUGUAGCAAUGCUGCAGAAUUACACCGGAUGAAUUAAAAUGAAUAGAUUCUUCAGUGUAUAGUGUUGGACACAGCGUGCUGAUUGGAAUCCUGUUCAAAGAUCGGAAAGGAACAGAGAGUUUCCCUUGUUUAACGACCAGACGCAGCAUCCUAUCAUCUGCCUACCCAGGCCA
RNAcentral lists this long non-coding RNA (322 nucleotides) under Cyanistes caeruleus (blue tit). RNAcentral's name for it is "lncRNA (ENSCCEG00000009090.1)". The record is from RNAcentral. Lineage: Eukaryota; Metazoa; Chordata; Aves; Passeriformes; Paridae.